Molecule: ribosomal RNA, 455 nt
Filed under: uncultured bacterium
Lineage: Bacteria
Description: bacterial SSU rRNA
Rfam family: Bacterial small subunit ribosomal RNA
Source: RNAcentral
UACGGAAGGCAGCAGCGGGGAAUAUUGCACAAUGGGCGAAAGCCUGAUGCAGCUAUGCCGCGUGUAUGAAGAAGGCCUUAGGGUUGUAAAGUACUUUCAUCGGGGAGGAAAAACAAAACUAAUAAUUUUAUUUCUUGACGUUACCCGAAAAAGAAGCACCGGCUAACUCCGUGCCAGCAGCCGCGGUAAUACGGAGGGUGCUAGCGUUAAUCAGAAUUACUGGGCGUAAAGAGCACGUAGGUGGUUUUUUUAAGUUCAGAUGUGAAAUCCCUGGGCUUAACCUAGGAACUGCAUUUUGAAACUGAAAUACUAGAGUAUCGUAGAGGGAGGUAGAAUUCUAGGUGUAGCGGUGAAAUGCGUAGAUAUCUGGAGGAAUACCUGUGGCGAAAGCGGCCUCCUAAACGAAUACUGACACUGAGGUGCGAAAGCGUGGGGAGCAAACAGGAUUAGAUACC